This 253-nucleotide ribosomal RNA is filed under the name uncultured bacterium. Its description in RNAcentral is "partial 16S ribosomal RNA". It matches the Rfam family "Bacterial small subunit ribosomal RNA", at positions 524 to 776 of the family's 1533-position model. The record is from RNAcentral.
UACGUAGGGGGCAAGCGUUGUCCGGAAUUAUUGGGCGUAAAGAGCGUGUAGGCGGCCAGAUAAGUCCGCUGUGAAAUCUCGAGGCUCAACUUCGAGCUGUCGGUGGAAACUGUCUGGCUAGAGUCCGGAAGAGGAGAAUGGAAUUCCUGGUGUAGCGGUGAAAUGCGCAGAUAUCAGGAAGAACACCCGUGGCGAAGGCGGUUCUCUGGGACGGUACUGACGCGGAGACGCGAAAGCGUGGGGAGCGAACAGG